CCUACGGGUGGCUGCAGGAGGGAAUAUUGCUCAAUGGGGGAAACCCUGAAGCAGCAACGCCGCGUGGAGGAUGAAGGUUUUCGGAUUGUAAACUCCUUUUGUUAGAGAAGAGAAUGACGGUAUCUAACGAAUAAUCACCGGCCAACUCCGUGCCAGCAGCCGCGGUAAUACGGAGGGUGCAAGCGUUACGCGGAACGACUGGGCGUAAAGGGCGCGUAGGCGGGAUAGCAAGUCAGAUGUGAAAUCCUAUGGCUUAACCGUAGAACUGCAUUUGAAACUGUUAGUCUAGAGUAUGGGAGAGGUAGGUGGAAUUCUUGGUGUAGGGGUGAAAUCCGUAGAGAUCAGGAGGAAUACUCAUUGCGAAGGCGGCCUGCUAGAACAUAACUGACGCUGAUGCGCGAAAGCGUGGGGAGCAAACAGGAUUAGAUACCCGUGUAGUC
RNAcentral lists this ribosomal RNA (440 nucleotides) under uncultured bacterium. RNAcentral describes it as "partial 16S ribosomal RNA". It matches the Rfam family "Bacterial small subunit ribosomal RNA", at positions 338 to 795 of the family's 1533-position model. The record is from RNAcentral.